RNAcentral lists this ribosomal RNA (423 nucleotides) under Microsporidia sp. clade X. RNAcentral's name for it is "SSU rRNA". It matches the Rfam family "Eukaryotic small subunit ribosomal RNA", at positions 1341 to 1791 of the family's 1831-position model. The record is from RNAcentral. Lineage: Eukaryota; Fungi; Microsporidia.
CCUUAACCUGCUAACUAGUUUACGAAACGCAAGUUUCGGCAAACUUCUUAGAGGGACUAUCUGUGACUAACAGAUGGAAGUUUGAGGCAAUAACAGGUCUGUGAUGCCCUUAGAUGUUCUGGGCCGCACGCGCGCUACACUGAUAAAGGCAACGAGUAUUCACCUUAACCGUAAGGUUUGGGUAAUCUUUUGAAACUUUAUCGUGAUGGGGAUUGAGCAUUGCAAUUAUUGCUCAUGAACGAGGAAUUCCUAGUAAGCGCGAGUCAUCAGCUCGCGUUGAUUACGUCCCUGCCCUUUGUACACACCGCCCGUCGAUACUACCGAUUGAAUGGCUUAGUGAGACCUUUGGAUGAUACUUUAGCCGCAAGGCAUGUAGGUGUCAGAAAUUGUUCAAACUUAUCCAUUUAGAGGAAGUAAAAGUCG